RNAcentral lists this ribosomal RNA (228 nucleotides) under uncultured bacterium. RNAcentral's name for it is "partial 16S ribosomal RNA". It matches the Rfam family "Bacterial small subunit ribosomal RNA", at positions 524 to 750 of the family's 1533-position model. The record is from RNAcentral.
UACGGAGGGAGCUAGCGUUGUUCGGAAUUACUGGGCGUAAAGCGCGCGUAGGCGGCUUUGUAAGUUAGAGGUGAAAGCCCGGAGCUCAACUCCGGAACUGCCUUUAAAACUGCAUCGCUUGAAUCCAGGAGAGGUGAGUAGGAAUUCCGAGUGUAGAGGUGAAAUUCGUAGAUAUUCGGAAGAACACCAGUGGCGAAGGCGGCUCACUGGACUGGUAUUGACGCUGAG